UACUACCACCUUUUUUAACUCUUUUUUCUGAUUUAGUUGCAAAUAAAUUUUUUGUCAUGUGUUGAUUUCUUCUAUUUUUAUUAUUUUUUAUUUUAUUUUCUUUUUCAUUGUGUUAUAUGUUUUAGGAGAAUAACUUUAUGUUAUUUCUCUAACAUGUUUUAAGCACAUAAAUUUUGGCAUGACGUAACGCUAAAUUAUCCCGAUUCGAUUAUUCUAAUCACUAACCAAUAACUAUUUAUUU
Molecule: long non-coding RNA, 241 nt
Filed under: Lathyrus oleraceus (garden pea)
Lineage: Eukaryota; Viridiplantae; Streptophyta; Magnoliopsida; Fabales; Fabaceae
Description: Pisum sativum (pea) long non-coding RNA (PSAT_LNC034946)
Source: RNAcentral